GAUGAACGCUAGCGGCAGGCUUAACACAUGCAAGUCGAGGGGUAACAGAGGUGCUUGCACUUGCUGACGACCGGCGAACGGGUGCGUAACGCGUAUAGAAUCCACCUCUUACUAAGGGAUAGCCCAGAGAAACUUGGAUUAAUAUCUUAUAGUAUGUUGACUUGGCAUCAAGAUAACAUUAAAGGUUACGGUGAGAGAUGACUAUGCGUCCUAUUAGCUAGAUGGUGUGGUAACGGCACACCAUGGCAACGAUAGGUAGGGGCCCUGAGAGGGGGAUCCCCCACACUGGUACUGAGACACGGACUAGACUCCUACGGGAGGCAGCAGUGAGGAAUAUUGGACAAUGGAGGCAACUCUGAUCCAGCCAUGCCGCGUGCAGGAAGACUGCCCUAUGGGUUGUAAACUGCUUUUAUACAGGAAGAAACACCUCUACGUGUAGAGGCUUGACGGUACUGUAAGAAUAAGGAUCGGCUAACUCCGUGCCAGCAGCCGCGGUAAUACGGAGGAUCCAAGCGUUAUCCGGAAUCAUUGGGUUUAAAGGGUCCGUAGGUGGAUAAUUAAGUCAGAGGUGAAAUCCUGCAGCUUAACUGUAGAAUUGCCUUUGAUACUGGUUAUCUUGAGUUGUUAUGAAGUAGUUAGAAUAUGUAGUGUAGCGGUGAAAUGCAUAGAUAUUACAUAGAAUACCAAUUGCGAAGGCAGAUUACUAAUAAUAUACUGACACUGAUGGACGAAAGCGUGGGGAGCGAACAGGAUUAGAUACCCUGGUAGUCCACGCCGUAAACGAUGGUCACUAGCUGUUCGAAUUUCGGUUUGAGUGGCUAAGCGAAAGUGGUAAGUGACCCACCUGGGGAGUACGUUCGCAAGAAUG
This 868-nucleotide ribosomal RNA is filed under the name uncultured bacterium. RNAcentral describes it as "bacterial SSU rRNA". It matches the Rfam family "Bacterial small subunit ribosomal RNA", at positions 28 to 896 of the family's 1533-position model. The record is from RNAcentral.